CUCAUUAACUCUGGCACACAGUUUACGAUGGCCUUCUAUGACAGGAUUAAUUGAUUCACACAUACAUUAAAACAAAAAUAACUACACUGAAAUUCAGCUGGAAGCCUGGCUCCUCGUUUGUCAUAAAGCCUGCUGUUGGUGAUAGCUGACAAAGACCCUAAUGCGGAAUGGGUUGAGGUUCCCUUACUGACCUCACCUUUGUUUCCGUCUGCGAACAAGAGCCUUGAAACACACCAGAAUGCUUUAAGUUUUUCAGGAAAACUCAUGAUCUACCUUUGAUGUGUUGACAUGUGAGAAACAGCUCUGAGACCUAUCAGCUGACAACUGCUACACCAGCAGAUAAUACUUAGUCACACUUUACAAAGGCACUUCAGUUUGCAAUUCCUGGUCUAAGAUUGAGCUUGGUUGAGAAAAGAAGGGUGAGUGGUGAAUUUGCCACUGCUGGAAGUGGAAUAGAGUGAAGGAAGAAGAAGAAAUAGUAAGGGCCAGGUUGCAAUGGAUAUAAAGUGCUUUUCUAUAUGCAACACUGGCUGUAAGAACAAUAAAG
RNAcentral lists this long non-coding RNA (547 nucleotides) under Equus caballus (horse). RNAcentral's name for it is "lncRNA (ENSECAG00000051600.1)". The record is from RNAcentral. Lineage: Eukaryota; Metazoa; Chordata; Mammalia; Perissodactyla; Equidae.